GGGUCGGUGGCGUAGUUGGUUAUCGCAUCUGUCUAACAUGACCCAAGGUGCUAUCAUGCAUGAUGUUUCCACAGAAGGUCCUCAGUUCGAUCCUGGGCCGACUCA
Molecule: non-coding RNA, 105 nt
Organism: Schizophyllum amplum
Lineage: Eukaryota; Fungi; Basidiomycota; Agaricomycetes; Agaricales; Schizophyllaceae
Source: the annotation of a GenBank genome assembly